This 497-nucleotide ribosomal RNA is filed under the name uncultured bacterium. RNAcentral describes it as "partial 16S ribosomal RNA". It matches the Rfam family "Bacterial small subunit ribosomal RNA", at positions 28 to 507 of the family's 1533-position model. The record is from RNAcentral.
GAUGAACGCUGGCGGCGUGCCUAAUACAUGCAAGUCGAGCGAACGGACGAGAAGCUUGCUUCUCUGAUGUUAGCGGCGGACGGGUGAGUAACACGUGGAUAACCUACCUAUAAGACUGGGAUAACUUCGGGAAACCGGAGCUAAUACCGGAUAAUAUUUUGAACCGCAUGGUUCAAAAGUGAAAGACGGUCUUGCUGUCACUUAUAGAUGGAUCCGCGCUGCAUUGGCUAGUUGGUAAGGUAACGGCUUACCAAGGCAACGAUGCAUAGCCGACCUGAGAGGGUGAUCGGCCACACUGGAACUGAGACACGGUCAAGACUCCUACGGGAGGCAGCAGUAGGGAAUCUUCCGCAAUGGGCGAAAGCCUGACGGAGCAACGCCGCGUGAGUGAUGAAGGUCUUCGGAUCGUAAAACUCUGUUAUUAGGGAAGAACAUAUGUGUAAGUAACUGUGCACAUCUUGACGGUACCUAAUCAGAAAGCCACGGCUAACUACGUG